This is a long non-coding RNA of Dermochelys coriacea (leatherback sea turtle), 1828 nucleotides long. RefSeq lists it as uncharacterized. NCBI's taxonomy places the organism in Eukaryota, Metazoa, Chordata, Testudines, Dermochelyidae. The transcript has 2 exons. The record is from RefSeq and is a predicted model, not a curated record.
CUUGAUGAUUACCUGUUCUGUUCAUUUCCUCUGGGGCAUCUGGCAUUGGCCACUGUCAGAAGAGAGGAUAUUGGGCUGGAUGGACCUUUGGUCUGACCCAGUAUGGCCAUUUUUAUGUUCUUUUCUUGGGAUAUGUGAAACUAGACUGGAGGAAGCCCUGGAGAUUGGACUGUAGGGAACAAUCCUGCAGAAGCCCCUGGGAAUGAAUAAAAAAUAUCGAAUAGACCUUUUGUAACUCAGAUGUCUAUAUUAUCUGACCAUAUUGUACAAGCACAUUAGAGGGAUGUUUCUCUUAAAUGAUUAGCAGUGAGCUAGUUAACAUACUCAGCUGAAAUUUAACAGCCCAUCAAAAUUAGUAGGGCAAUUUCCAGCUCUCAUAAGGUAAAGCUGGUUAGACAGGCUUGGCUAGAGGGUCCUACAGUGCAAAAAAACCAAAACAGUGCUGAUUCAGAUACAGCCUAGAAUACAUACUAGUAAGAACCAAACAGAGUUAGCUGCUACAGUCACCUAAUAUUAUAUUGUGUUGAAGACAUAAACCAUGUAAGCCAAGCAAGUUACUAAACUGGUUACAAACUCAAAAACACAGAGCCUUAGGCAGCCUGAAACAAUAGCUCUGACUACAUAUUUAGGAAUACAUACAACACAGCAAUAGGUCACAUUGGGAAGGUUUUCUCUGAAACAAAAAGGUCAAAUUCUGAAGAAAUCAAUGGGCACCGCAUCAUGCCAGAAUGACUUUAUGGCCUGAUACAGCUCACAGCCCUGCCGAGAAAAGGAGAACUUAAUGCCCUCAGAUAAGACCCCUCGUCAUUACAUUAUUUAAUUACAUAAGGCUUCUAGAAAGCUUGAGUUAAGAACAGGAAUUUGACUGCAGUCCAGCUGGGUGCGGUUGCUUAGAUCAUACUGUGUGUUAGCUUAAGAACUAAAAGCAAGAGUUUAUGUGGCAUGACUAUAGCAUAAUUGGAGUUGAAAUAAGUAAGCUGAUACUGAUGACUGGAUCUGAAAGUAACUAUCUUUUUCAUAAAGAAACAAUAAAUUAUCACUCUCCUGAUGAUAGUAAUCUUAAUACUACCUCAUGUUUCUCUUCAAAGGGCUUUACUACCAUUAAUUGAUCCUCAUAACUCCUUUGAAGUUGGUAAGUAAAUAUCAUUAUGAACAUUUUUCAGAUGAAGAAAUCCAGGCAGAGAGGUGAAAUUACUCACCUAGGACAACACGGGGUCUGUUUCACAGCCAAGAUUAGCAACCAGGAGUUUCUAGCUCCUAGUUCUAUGUUCACAAAAGUACAAAAAGUAACAUUCCAUAUUCCUGACUGCUUUCUUACAGAUGAAACAGAUCAUUGGUGACUCUCUCUAGAUUCAUAACCAGCGUCUCAUAGAUUAAAGAUAGAGAAAUAAUCAAAUGGUCUUGUAAUUAAGGGUUGUCACUGUUCUGCACAGGAGAGUCCCAAUUUUCACAGGUCCUAUUAAAUUGGGUUUGCAGGACAUUCCUAUGGGGGUCUUGAAUCAUCCUGACGCCAACAGAAGGUGGAUCAUUUGACAUGAUGAAGUUGCAUCAGUAUGGGAAAAUGCAAAAGUUGUAAUGCUAUGACACAUUUUGUAUGUAAUUACUUAAAAGAGGAUGUCUUGCUAUAAGGUGUGUGUAACCCAUGGUCAGUUAUGUUCCCACAGUCACCCAAUGAUUUGGCAAUCUUUCUGUCCUCUUCCUGCAGACUUUGGGAAGUUAUAACUUAUGAUGGAAACAAAGUUGAAUUGUAACAUGUAUGUCAGCAUUGAAGAGUUGCUACUGGAUGACCUUUUCAGUUUGAGCAAAUACACUAAUUAACUUUGCCUUA